This 199-nucleotide long non-coding RNA is filed under the name Elaeis guineensis (African oil palm). RNAcentral's name for it is "long non-coding RNA (EGUI_LNC065971)". The record is from RNAcentral. Lineage: Eukaryota; Viridiplantae; Streptophyta; Magnoliopsida; Arecales; Arecaceae.
UCCUGCUGCAGCCUUUCCUGUAGAUCUGUUGAUAGAGAUCUCACCCGUGCCUCAAACGACCUUAGAUCAACUCCAGAUCUGAGAGAAACUUGUAUCUACCUCUUCUCAAGAGAUUUCAGGUCCUGGACCUGAUGCUUGGGUGGCUGCAAGAGAGGGAGAGAAGAAAAUGGCUGGCGGCUGCAAGGGGGAAGGGGCUAGC